This 1481-nucleotide long non-coding RNA is filed under the name Vulpes vulpes (red fox). RNAcentral describes it as "lncRNA (ENSVVUG00000011916.1)". Lineage: Eukaryota; Metazoa; Chordata; Mammalia; Carnivora; Canidae. The record is from RNAcentral.
GCAUUUUUCAUUUUCCAUCAUCCUUGUAUUUAUAUAAAAAUAUCCCCUUUUCAUAAAAGCUGCAUUUUCGAUAGCUCUUAUGACUGCAGUGUUAAAUCAUCAUGGCAGUUGUUGGCUUUGGGUGUAAAAAGAUGUUGUAUGUAUGCAGUCACUCAAGCACUAACACCCAUGUACCGUUCACCAAUUUGGGCAAGAAGGUAAAUAAGAAUAUCUUUUUCCCCCCUUCACAUAGUCAAAUUAAAAAAUCUGGUGCCUGUUAGAAAGUGAGAUCUAAACUGGAUUUUAUGGAAGGGUUAUCUCUAUCUCUGAUUUUUUGAUAUUCAAAAAAUGUUUUGUGCAUUCAAAGAAAGAAAGGAAAGAAGGAAGGAAGGAAGGAAGGAAGGAAGGAAGGAAGGAGAAGGAAGGAAGACAGUUAAACAAACAAUUCCAAUGUUGCUUAGAAGCAAGCAGCAAUACCUGACCAAUCUGCUAGUGUUCUCAAUUCUUUCCCAUUGCCCACCUCUUCUCAGGAGUGUUGAAGGCAAGUAGCUAGUGGGAGAGAACAGGAAAAUGAGAUUUUCACCCACCACAAACUGGGUCUGUCCUGAGAUGUCAUUGUCCGGGCUUGGGAAGUACAGUCUCUGUCUGCCACACCAGGAAUGCCGUCAGCUUGAGAGGCAUGAGCCAGGAUCCAGCCUUAGAGAGCACUGCCAUCUCCUGGAAAACCCUCUAUACAUGAGGCCUGCUGUCUUCGCUCCUCCAACGCCACAAAUCAGAAAACAAGGCCUUGGUCACGGCCCUCUAUCUUUAGCACCAAAGGUCUGGGUACACAGAACCUUCAUCUUCUGCCCCUUCAAAUUGGAACACGCCAAUUCCUGAAGGAAAUGAAAAGGUGUUGUAUUGUCAUCUUAAUUAAAAACAAAUAACUAGGUUGGGGAGGCCACUGGUGCUGAGACUGUGAUUACUACUCCUGCCUUCUGCUCCCGAGGCUGGUAACAGACGCUGCUUCCUAUAAAUGAGUGCCUGGCACCAGUACAAUCCUGCCCUCGGGAUCUUGAGAAAAAGCAGGAGCCUUAUUUACACCAUUAAGGACAGUACUGAGGACUCCAGGAGUAAGUCACCUUCUCAGGCAGAGCAUCAGAGACCAGAAAGCCCUGCGUCCUUCAGCCUUUGCUCUGUGGCAAUUACUUAUUGAAAUUCCACCUUACAGACAUAUUGGAAUAACUAAUGAGAUAUUUUCAGAAAUCACUGAAGACCCAGAAAAGCACCUAUGAGUGUCCGUUUACACUCCCAACAUAUGAAGGCUGGCACACCCAACAGUGUCUGUGAGGCAACAGUGGAUUUUCAAAGACACGGCUUUAGUGAUUAGAGCCGGGUAGUUGUCAGAUUUUGGCUAGAACGAAAUGCAUUUGGGAAGAUAUCAGGCUCUUCAUCAUGAACAAGAAUAGGCUUUCUGUACUAACAGCUUUCUUUUGAAAUAAAUGAUUAUCUGUGUAAAGACA